CAGUAGCCGCGGAAUACGAAGGGUGCAAGCGUUAAUCGGAAUUAUUGGGCGUAAAGGGCUCGCAGGCGGUUUGUUAAGUCUGUUGUGAAAUCCCCGGGCUCAACCUGGGAAUGGCAAUGGAUACUGGCAAGCUAGAGUGUGUCAGAGGAUGGUGGAAUUCCCGGUGUAGCGGUGAAACGCGUAGAGAUCGGGAGGAACAUCAGUGGCGAAGGCGGCCAUCUGGGACAACACUGACGCUGAGGCACGAAAGCGUGGGGAGCAAACAGGAUUAGAUACCCCAGUAGUCCCUGUCUCUUAUACA
Molecule: ribosomal RNA, 301 nt
Filed under: uncultured bacterium
Lineage: Bacteria
Description: partial 16S ribosomal RNA
Rfam family: Bacterial small subunit ribosomal RNA
Source: RNAcentral